Molecule: ribosomal RNA, 459 nt
Filed under: uncultured bacterium
Lineage: Bacteria
Description: partial 16S ribosomal RNA
Rfam family: Bacterial small subunit ribosomal RNA
Source: RNAcentral
CCUACUGGUGGCAGCAGUGAGGAAUAUUGGUCAAUGGCCGGAAGGCUGAACCAGCCAAGCCGCGUGAAGGACGAAGGUGCCAAGCAUUGUAAACUUCUUUUGUCAAGGGACAAAAUCAGGCUCGAGAGCCUGACCGAGGGUACUUGAAGAAAAAGCAUCGGCUAACUCCGUGCCAGCAGCCGCGGUAAUACGGAGGAUGCGAGCGUUAUCCGGAUUUAUUGGGUUUAAAGGGUGCGUAGGCGGACUGUUAAGUCAGCGGUAAAAGCCCGGGGCUCAACCCCGGCCUGCCGUCGGAACUGGGUGCCUUGAGUGGGCGAGAAGUAUGCGGAAUGCGUGGUGUAGCGGUGAAAUGCAUAGAUAUCACGCAGAACCCCGAUUGCGAAGGCAGCAUACCGGCGCCCGACUGACGCUGAGGCACGAAAGUGCGGGUAUCGAACAGGAUUAGAUACCCCAGUAGUC